Molecule: ribosomal RNA, 2193 nt
Filed under: Triticum aestivum (bread wheat)
Lineage: Eukaryota; Viridiplantae; Streptophyta; Magnoliopsida; Poales; Poaceae
Description: partial small subunit ribosomal RNA
Source: RNAcentral
AUGAGGCUCCUCGUCCCCGACGGCGCGCGCCAGCACUCCGAGGCCGCGACGCCGCGCCGGCACCGCCCGCCGCCCGAGGCGCCGCCGGAGGCCAGCGGCAGGACGGUGGCGGUCGGGAUCAGGUGGGACGCCGCCAGCCGCGAGCUCCUCACCUGGGCGCUCGUCAAGGUCGCCAAUGCCGGCGACCGCGUCGUCGCCCUCCACGUCGCCGCCGGAGGCGGAGGAGGGGCUGGGCUGGAGGAGAGGAGGAAGGCCGCGGAUUCGCUCGCGACGGUGCUCGCCGUGUACGACGGCUUCUGCAACCUCAAGCAGAUCAAUUUGGAGCUCAAGGUCUGCGCAGGAUCGUCUAUCCGGAAAACUCUGGUUAAAGAGGCGGCUUCAUGUGGUGCUGCGCAUCUGAUCCUCGGUGUCGCAAAGAAUUCUCGGUCUUUUGGAUCCUCCUCCACUUCAGUUGCCAAGUACUGUGCAAAGAGAGUUCCCACGAGUUGCUCGGUUCUUGCUGUCAACAAUGGCAAGAUUAUUUACCAAAGAGCUGCAGCACGCGAAGAACCAUUCAAUAGCACUAGCGCACCCGAGACUCCAAGGAGGAGUUACCGCAAGCUUUUGACUUCCCUGAUAGGAGAGAGAUCUCAGGAUGAAUGUAUAAAGGAUAACAGGUCCAUUUCUCGGGCUGUCACCAUGCCAAUGAGGUCUCACACAUCGCCAAAGGAAGUUUCGCUAGCAUUGGUUCCAGUUAAGGUUAGCCGACGUGAAUCGCCAGAAGUAGCAACUGGCUGGCCAUUCCUAAGGAAGAAGUUAUUGCCAAACCGACAGGAUGCGUUGUCUGACAAGCCCAAGAUGUCUGUGGUGCAGUGGGCAAUGCGGCUUCCGAGCAGGUAUUCAGCUGUUUCGCCGGUCCAUGUUGAACACAGAGCCACGAGACCAGACUCAACCAACAAUGUCAGUCGUAUCUUGCGUGAUAGGGUAGUUAUCCCCUCCAGAAGCAAUUCAGGAGGCACUUCUGUUGUGAUUGAGGAAUUGGAUAAAGAAAUUCCAGAGGAGCUGAUCUCACUCAAAGAGAAAUUCUUAUCCCUUUAUUCUUCGUACAGUUACAAUGAGCUUGCAGAUAUCACUUCCAAUUUUUCAUCUGAGUGUAUAGUUGGACAAGGUGGCACGAGCCAAGUCUACAAAGGUUGUUUGACAAAUGGCAAGGAGUUGGCAGUGAAGAUCCUGAAGUAUUCCGAUGAGGUACUGAAGGAGUUCACAUCAGAGAUCGAGAUUGUCAGCUCCGUCGUUCACAAGAACAUCAUAUCCAUCACUGGCUUCUCCUUCAAGAACAAUGAUCUUCUAUUGGUAUAUGAAUACUUGCAAAGAGGCAGCCUAGAAGAAAUACUGCAUGGUGAGAAAGAAUGUAAAAGCAUGUUUGGUUGGACCGAGAGGUUCAAUGUGGCGGUAGGUGUUGCACAUGCACUGGAUUAUCUCCAUGGUAACGGCAACAGUCGCCCAGUGAUCCAUAGGGAUGUCAAGUCGUCAAAUAUCCUCGUCUCAGAGGAUUUUGAGCCAAAGUUAUCAGACUUUGGCCUUGCGCUUUGGGCCGCUGAUGCAACACCCCAGAUCACAUGCAAUGAUGUAGCAGGAACUUUUGGGUACUUGGCUCCUGAAUACUUCAUGCAUGGCAAGGUGAACGACAAAAUCGAUGUUUUUGCUUUUGGUGUUGUUCUUCUUGAACUCGUCUCAGGCAGGAAACCGCUGUGCACUGGUUGUCCGAAAGGCCAGGAGAGCCUAGUUAUGUGGGCGAAUUCUAUCAUCCAAGGAGGAAAGCUCACGCAACUGGCAGAUCCUAGCUUGCCUACCGAAGGCCAUAACGAUGAAAUUGAGAGGAUGACACUUGCUGCUUCGCUCUGCAUCAGACCGACGCCUCAACACCGUCCUCAUAUCACAGUGGUUUUGAAGCUACUUGAUGGCGACAAUGACAUUCUCAAGUGGGCUAGAUCUCAUGUCGGUUUAUCAUACGAUAGCGAUGGUGACGAAGACGACGUCGUCACGCUCGCGCCACCGCCGGAGAACAGCACCAACAUCCAGUCGUACAUCAAUCUCGCCUUUGACGUGGACGACGACUCCGCCUCGGUGAGCAGCAACGACUUCAUCACGGCAAACACGUCCCUGGAAGAGUACCUACAGGGAAGAUGGAGUCGAUCGUCGAGCUUCGACUGA